Molecule: ribosomal RNA, 460 nt
Filed under: uncultured bacterium
Lineage: Bacteria
Description: partial 16S ribosomal RNA
Rfam family: Bacterial small subunit ribosomal RNA
Source: RNAcentral
CCUACGGGAGGCAGCAGUGAGGAAUAUUGGUCAAUGGGCGCGAGCCUGAACCAGCCAAGUAGCGUGAGGGAUGACUGCCCUACGGGUUUUAAACUUCUUUUAUAAAGGAAUAAGGUGAGGCACGUGUGCCUUUUUGUAUGUACUUUAUGAAUAAGGGUCGGCUAACUCCGUGCCAGCAGCCGCGGUAAUACGGAGGAUCCGAGCGUUAUCCGGAUUUAUGGGGUUUAAGGGGAGCGUAGAUGGGUUGUUAAGUCAGUGGUGAAAGUUUGCGGCUCAACCGUAAAAUUGCAAUUGAUACUGGCAGACUUGAGUACAGGUGAGGUAGGUGGAAUUCGUGGUGUAGCGGUGAAAUGCGUAGAUAUCACGAAGAACUCCGAUUGCGAAGGCAGCUUACUAACCUGCCACUGACAUUGAUGCGCGAAAGUGUGGGUAUCAAACAGGAUUAGAUACCCCUGUAGUC